Molecule: ribosomal RNA, 253 nt
Filed under: uncultured bacterium
Lineage: Bacteria
Description: partial 16S ribosomal RNA
Rfam family: Bacterial small subunit ribosomal RNA
Source: RNAcentral
UACGGGGGGGGCAAGCGUUGUUCGGAAUUACUGGGCGUAAAGGGCUCGUAGGCGGCCAACUAAGUCAGACGUGAAAUCCCCAGGCUCAACCUGGGAACUGUGUCUGAUACUGGAUGGCUUGAAUCCGGGAGAGGGAUGCAGAAUUCCAGGUGUAGCGGUGAAAUGCGUAGAUAUCUGGAGGAAUACCGGUGGCGAAGGCGGCAUCCUGGACCGGCAUUGACGCUGAGGAGCGAAAGCCAGGGGAGCAAACGGG